UAGGGAAUCUUCGGCAAUGGACGAAAGUCUGACCGAGCAACGCCGCGUGAGUGAAGAAGGUUUUCGGAUCGUAAAACUCUGUUGUUAGAGAAGAACAAGGACGUUAGUAACUGAACGUCCCCUGACGGUAUCUAACCAGAAAGCCACGGCUAACUACGUGCCAGCAGCCGCGGUAAUACGUAGGUGGCAAGCGUUGUCCGGAUUUAUUGGGCGUAAAGCGAGCGCAGGCGGUUUCUUAAGUCUGAUGUGAAAGCCCCCGGCUCAACCGGGGAGGGUAAUUGGAAACUGGGAGACUUGAGUGCAGAAGAGGAGAGUGGAAUUCCAUGUGGAGCGGUGAAAUGCGUAGAUAUAUGGAGGAACACCAGUGGCGAAGGCGGCUCUCUGGUCUGUAACUGACGCUGAGGCUCGAAAGCGUGGGGAGCAAACAGG
This 429-nucleotide ribosomal RNA is filed under the name Gemmatimonadota bacterium. Its description in RNAcentral is "Gemmatimonadetes bacterium partial 16S ribosomal RNA". It matches the Rfam family "Bacterial small subunit ribosomal RNA", at positions 355 to 776 of the family's 1533-position model. Lineage: Bacteria; Pseudomonadati; Gemmatimonadota. The record is from RNAcentral.